GGGGAAGGGGAGAAUGGGAAAUGACUGCUACUGAGGUUUUUUUUUGGGUGAUGAAAAUGUUCUGGUGUUAGAUACUGAUGAUGGUUGCAACAACUUUGUGAAUUUAUGAAAAAACCACUUAAUUAUACACUUUUCACCCCACUUCCUCUGCCAUCUUGGUCCUACUGUUCUGAGGAGUUACCUGUACACCCUGCCUCCAGCUCUCCUGAGCAGAGAGAUCCUGAUGGCUGACUCAGAAGCACUCCCCUCCCUUGCUGGGGACCCAGUGGCUGUGGAAGCCUUGCUCCGGGCCGUGUUUGGGGUUGUUGUGGAUGAGGCCAUUCAGAAAGGAACCAGUGUCUCCCAGAAGGUGAGUCCUUUCCUCCUCCUCCUUCCCAUCAAGCUUUCUUUCUUUUCUUUUCUCUUUUUUCCUUUCUUUUC
Molecule: small RNA, 420 nt
Filed under: Pongo abelii (Sumatran orangutan)
Lineage: Eukaryota; Metazoa; Chordata; Mammalia; Primates; Hominidae
Description: retained intron
Source: RNAcentral